AACCCCAUACGAUGGUCCUUAGAUGCUCCAUGGUGUAUUUGAACCCAUGGAUCCAAGGAAAUGGAAGGCUAUGAAAAUUAGGGUUUACCCUAAUUGUAACAACUAUAUAAGAUCAUAUUCUUUGGGGAAAAUCGGCCACAAUGCAUAAUAAGAAAGGGCUAGCCGAUUUUAGGAGUGUUCAAGUUUUUCUCAAGUUAUUCCAAGUGUAUUUGGUGUUGUGUGAACCAUUUGAGGUGUCACACUUGAGGCACUAGGCACACAAGCUUCAUGAAGACAUUCUACAUCAAAGAGGUAUGUAUUCUAUCUUGUUAUAUUCAUUAUUUUGUAUGCUAGAUUAGGAUAAUACCUUGGAUGUUCAUAAUUGAAUGUAUAAUAGAGAAAACAUAGAUCCAAGGUAUUUAGGGUUGCAUGUACACUUAGGAGUGUUAGAAUGCUCAAAACCCAACAGUGGUAUCAGAGCCUAGGCUUGUUUUCUUGUUAUACUUGCAAAAGUAGCCGGAAAAAAUCGAGUUUUGAUGAUGUCUGCACAGCAGACUCGCCGAGUCCAAGGAAAAAUUCAUCCAACUCGCCUAGUUGGUUUGUGCACUCGACGAGUUGGACUCCCUGACAGCAUAUGUUCUAUUGUUUUGGCUGGAAUUGGAUUAGGAACAUUACCCUAAGAUGUUUUUUGGACUUAUAAACUUGUUUUUGAUGUGGUAAUGUUCAUGCUAAUCCAAUUUCUAAGACAAUUGUCAUAAUUUCAAGAUUUGUAUUAGUUUGUAUGUUCAUGCUAAUUUCUUGAAGAUUGAUGAUUUGAAUUAUCUUGUUCUUAUGAGGUUCUUAGAUUAAUAGAAAAGUUGUGUGAAAUAGUUGAUUUCAAUCCAUUUUAAUCUAAGAGCUGAUUCCAAAGUGUGUUUUUGUAACUUGUCCUCAAGUUAUAUGAAAAAGUCACAUUUAAGAAUCAUAACACUCAUAAAAGUUGGCAAAGGUUACAAAAUGAAGAGUCUAGUUCAAGAGUCUCUUCAUUAAAUAAUAAAUAAAAAAAGUGUAACCUUAAUUAGUUCCAUAAGUUACAAUAAAAAAAAGAGUUAUUUUUUUUAUUAAGUAGUUUAAAGUCUUCCAUAACUUGUCCUUAAGUUAUGGAACUUGAAGAGUUUUUAAUUAAAACUACUUUAAACUCAUAAGUUAUGGAAUUAAUUAGUUUUAAAUAGUUUCAAAACUUGCCCUCAAGUUUUGAAAUUUGAAAAAAAUUUCUCUUAUGAAUACUUUAAUUCCAAGUUAAGCCCUUAGAAUUUUAAAAGUUAAAAUUCAACCCUUAUACUUUAUAAUAUUAUAAGUUAAUAAUAUUUAUAUAUAUGUAUAAGAGUAAAGUCAGUCUUACCGUUAGUAGGCCUCAUUCACGAAGCCGGUCUAUAAGGGGGGUAUAAGGUUACUGCCUAUAAAAUGGCAGUUUAAUGGGUGUCCACUCUCACCCACCACUUCCUUGACCGGUGGAGGGUCGUUAGCCGAACGGGUAGGACAAGGACUAUAAUUCUCCCUUCAUUAAAAGUAUUAAUGAUAAAUACUAAGUAACUAAACCUUUUAUAAAUACCCAAUCUUAGUUACUUAGGAAAAUGUGAAUAAGGUGCUAAUCCAUGAAAUUACACUUUGCACUUUGUUUAAGUCGGUUAGUGGAGCGUGUGUGGUUAACCGGCACACUAACUCGUAUUUAACAAGGUAGGCAAAGGGUAACUUAAUGUUUAUCAUAGUAUCGAUGGAGCGUGUGUGGUUAACCGGCACAUCGAUUGAGGGGUAAACACUUAAGGGUACCAAGUAAUUUGCAUGGUUACUUCACACCUUGUUUUGUGAUCCUCGGCAUCCCAGUCACAAAACCUGAAGGGCACACUCGAGAUUGAAACAUGCCAUUGAAAAGUUCAAUGAAUCUCAAAAGAUCUAGGAGUUUCAAAUCCAAUUAAAACCUAAUAAUACAUUUCGUUUAUCUUGGUGGAAAUUGGUGAAUCGUCAUUCACCUACCUUCAAAUAUUUUUUAGCUUGGAUUACGGCAUCCCUCUUCUAAGUUAUAAAAUAGUUUGUUGGGUCCUAGACUUAAUAUUUCAUAUUGGAUGUUAUAUUAAGGAAUUUAGAUCAACUAUCUUGAAUAUCUCCCAAAACAUGUCUGGUUUAGACAUUUAUGAUCUUCCCAAAUCUCUUGAAACAAGCUUUCCUAAAUGAAGAUGAUGUCCCAUUGAAAUCAUACUUCUUUCACCUCCUCCAAUUAUUCUCCCUAACCCACAAGUUCUUGAAAAGUGUAAGGUCACUCCAGCCCUAUUGGCAAGCAAAGGUCUAUGUGUGAUCACGCAUCUUGGAGAUGUAGUCACAUAUUGACAAGCCGGGAGAGUUGGGUGUCAAAGUAUUGAGAAAGUUGGUGGCUCAAUCACUUUCUAAGUCACAUAGUGAGUUCCUUUGGGACUCCUAUGAAACAGACUAUGACAAGACCCUUAAUAAUCUCAUCUAUUUACUAAGAUCAACUUCCUAAAAACUUUAUGGACAUUGACAAUAGUGACACUGGAAAUCCAGAAAAAGCAUUCUCUUCCCAAGGAAAGGGAUUGACCAUAGUCAACUAGGUUGAUCAAAUGGUAAAGAGAAAUGCUAAGUCUGUGACAGGCGCAUGUACCAUUAUCAAAGAGUCCAUAUGAUAAAUUGCCAAAGGAAGGGGCAUUGAUUGCGAAGCUGUUAAAUUUACCUAAGGAUGUUAAAGUCAAUAACUUUGACUCUACUUUAGGUAAAGUCCACUAUCUAACUCUGCUAAGUUUCUAUUCUGAGAUUCUUGAUAAAUGUUGUGACUGGGUCACAUGUUGAUGUUUUAAGAAUCAAAGAAAUGUGAAGAAACUUAAAGAAGGAAUAUGAUGAAUAUGAUCGCGUAGAUGGAUUUCUAUCGCAUAGUUUGAAGAUCGGAUUCUUGAGCUACUUCUUAGGAGUUAUGAUAUAUUGCUCAGGAAUAGAUAACAACAAAGUUUUCAUGUGCUAUUGCACUGUAAGGAUAGUUUUUCCGCAAAGUUUUUUAAAUAAGAGGAAAAUUUUUUAUUUUAUUUAUUUUAAAAUAUCCUUACAAUGGCUUUUGUUAAAAGUUUUGUUGCUUAUAAGAUCCCAUUAAUAGCAAGAGUGGAAAUUUGAAUUUGAUUCUUUCAUUUGUGUUAGUGUCUAAAUUUACCAAAUAAGGAAAGAUUCUCAUCACCCAAGUUUCAAUUGGACCGGAACUUGGAAUCAUGCAAGUUGUAUAGCAUGAUGAAUGAGAACUUUCAAGUUUUGGAAAAAUUAAGACUAAUUACUUGUUCACAUGGAUGUGUGAGUCAAGUAAAGGACUAAGGGAUCGAGUACACAUUCUUGUGCACUGAUUAAGUCCACCACAAAAGAUCGAUAAGAAUAUUCGUCAUAAUUUACUAAAGCUUAGUAAAUAUGGUUAUACUUACAGGCUAAAGUAUAAUUCUGAAACAUUGGAAAGUUCCAAUGUAUGGCAGAGCGAAUAAGAAGAAUCAACUUAUCCAGAAAGAUAAAAGUCUCUUAAAUCUGAAAAGAUGGGAGAGUACUUUAGUAUCAUCUUAUAUAAUCAUCUUAAUGAUUAAGAUACCUUAUCACAAUUCAUCCUCUAAGUGCACUCUGAUAGGCAAGGAGAGGAGAUAUGAAGNGAGUCAUACUUCGUUCCAAUACAAGUCUUAGAGUCAUACUCCAAGAUUGUAACUUGAGUGACAUGUCUUAAAGAAGGUUUAAAACACUUGUCAAAUGUAAGAGUAAAAGUUUUCUACUCUUGUACAUUUGAAAUUGGUAAGUUGUGAUGUUUUGGAUAAAACAAAUACCAACUAAGGCCAAUUGUGUGAAGUGUUUGUCUUGAUUACAAUCCAUACUAUCUCUUGAAUAUCUGACAAGAAAGUUGUAUAUGUCAAGAGGACAGUGGGAGUCUUAAAGGUCUUGAAACUCUCAAGAACUAAUCAAGAAUAAAACCUAAAGUUCUUCACUAGCACACGACUUGAGGUUUAUAACCUAUCUUGUUGACGUAUUCUGUGCCCAUUCCAANUUAAGUUGGCUAUACAUUUGAGUUCUACAUGUUCUCAAUUGUUUGCAUAACUACUUGGAAGCAAUGGCAGGCCCUUGAGCUGCCAGGUGGCAAGAAGUUAAGAUUGCACAAGUUCAAUCCAUAUGAGUUUGGAUUUGUCAUUAUCCUUGUCUUGUGACUAUGGUUUUGACAAUUCACAUGGAUAAGAACACUUACACCAUAAAAUCUAAGUGUCAUAAGGUUUCUCUUCGAUUCAUGAAAAUGAUGGUAAGGAAACUCUUUCACUAAGUAGAUUUUGAGUAGAUAGCAAUUUUGGGAAUGACAAAAGGUCUAAACAUUAUGAUUACGGCAACCCUCUUCAUAAUGGUUUAGACACACCUGUGAGCUAUCUAAGAGAGGUGUAUGUUUUUGAUAAAGUCUUAUCAAGGCAAUCUAGUAUCAAAAAUCUGAACUUUGGCAAGAAAGUUAAUAAAGUAUUGAUUUCUAGAAGUUCAGUUGAUUUCUGGGUACAUGUCAAAGCUAGUGGGAGCAUAAGUGUUAUGCUAAUAAUCAUCAUGUUAGUGGGAGCAUGAUAAUUAUGAUAAGAAUUGCAAGUUAGCAAUGUUAAUUAUAGAAAACAAAAGUUUCAAUUCGUGAGGUUGCAGGGGUUGAAAAAGUUGUUUUGCUAUAAUUAAGGGAGAGGAAAUUAUACUUCAUUUCAAUUCUAAAAAGCUUAGAUUGAGUUUAUAAUCAUUCUAAAGAGCUUAUAUUGAGAUUUUAAUCACCUUUAGUCAAGAAUAUAUAUAUGAAUUUCAUGUUGGAUUGGUUCAACUUAAGAACAUUCUAUAUAUUGCGUUCUCAAAAUUCGAUUAUGAUUACGACAUCCCUUUUCAUAGUCAAAUUUUGAGAAUAUGGAAAACAUAAAUUAUUAUGGCAAAAGACUGGUCUUGAACCCUGUCUUUAUGUAAACAUCAUGAAUCGUGUCCCAUUUACUUUGGGUACAAGGUCGAUUACAUGUGCUAUAAUAUUUAUCCUUUCUGAAUUUUCAAAAUGCCUUGGGGCAUUAAGGAGGAAAAAGUAUAGAAUUGGAUAUGACUAAAGUGAUUAAGUAAUUGUCGAGGACAAUCUACGGUUUACCAAAUAUUGGUUGCUCAAGGACAGUUGGAAGUAUACUGUUAAUACUGGAAGGACCAUAUUGACAUAGUCUGAAAAGAGGCAACUCUUGUUCAGAAGUGGUAGUCAANAAUAUGGAAAUGUUUCAAAGUUAGAAAGUAUUCAAUCUGUAAGAUUAGGAAACUUAAUGCAAGAAGGAUGUUUCCAUGGAGUUGAUCUCCAUUGGAAUGCUCUGUAAUGUUUGUUGUCAAGUCCUUGUGACUUUGUGCAUAAUCAUUACUAGAGGAUCAAUGCAUAUAAGUUUAGAAUCUAUCAAAUUUCGAUAAAUGGCAUGAAUUUUGAAUUCUUGCAUUUGCGGUAGGGAUUUUGGACUGUGAAAUGAGAAUCAUUGGAGUUAUGUUCAAUCGAUCUAUUUCACAAAGUAAAGAUCAUAGACAAACAUAGUGUGCAUACUUGGUGUAUGGCAUGACUAGUGUUUAGAAAACAUAGUGUACAUGCUUGGAGCAUGGGACAACUAUUGUUUUAAAUUCAAGAAUAAAGUUGAUAGCUGAAACAGUAUACAAUGAAUAAUGUGUAAUCAUAUGGUGAUAAAUAAAAGGUGUUUUAUUUAUGUUCAUAGGGUUGAUACCAUAUUGGAUUCAAUUAUUAUUGUGUUUCAUUUUGCAUGUUUUGACUUCCCGAAUAAACUGGGUUAUUCUUCCGGAAUGACUAAGUUAUUCAAACCAUCCACAGUCGGUCAUAUGUUGGAAGUAGAUAUGAAUUAAGACUGUCAUGGGUUGGCUUGUAGAGGUCUAAGGUGUUGGACAAAGGGCUACAACACUCAUGAGUGCUCAUAAGUUCUGAGUAUUGGAUUCAACCCGCGCUCAUUGGAAUCACUUCAUGGAUUUUAUCACGAGUGAUCAUGAGACGAUAAUAUCUUAUAUUCUUCAAACCUAGAGAUAUGAGUUGUUACUAUGAGUUGAUAGUACAUUGAUUGCACGAAAACGCAUUUGGUAACUCGGUGCUAUAAAACGUGCCUUUGUGUAUGAUUCAACAAGUAGUAGAACAAGCCAUAUGAGUCGAAGUUUAUCCAUUCCUUUUACCUUCGGGAUAAAAGCGAUAUCUGUGGGCCCCUCGAUGAUUUGAUGAUGACAAAUGGAAGUGCUCGGCCGGGCCAGGACUGAUUUGAUUUGUUCAAUUAGUCAGUCGUCAUAAAUCGGAAAUCGGGAAACAACAAAUGGACAGAGAGAAUGAUUAUAAUCCAUGUCUCAGUCCAUAUGAUAUCUAGAAUGGAGGAAUAUAUGAUCCCUUAUCUAAUGGACAAGUCAUUGACAAAGGUCAGAGUUCAUCUACAAGGUCAGAGUUCGACAGAAGCUUUUGAGAGCUACGAUUGCCAGUUGGUUCCUGAAGUCAUACGCAAUAAUAGUUUUAGACUUAUCCAAGUGGGAGACUGUUGGAUUAAUGUCUAAGUCCAUAACUAUAAUUGGUAAGACUUGACCCGACCCGGCAUGGUCCAUUUGGGUUGCAUGGCAUCAUGCACUUGGAUAGACUAUAAUGAGAGAAAUAACACUUAAGGUUGAUUAAUAUAUUAUAAGUUCUAAUAUAUUAAUAGGAUUAUUUAAUUAGUAUUGAUCAAGAAUUAAUCUAGAAUUAAUUAAGUGAUCAAAAGAAGACUAAUUAAAUAUAUGGGUUGAUUGUGUAAAUCAUCCAUACUUUUAUAGUGGUCUGAUGCUCCAUGGAUAAUCAAGUUGGGCUAAACCCCAUAGGAUGGUCCUUGGAUGCUCCAUGGUGUAUUUGAACCCAUGGAUCCAAGGAAAUGGAAGGCCAUGAAAAUUAGGGUUUACCCUAAUUGUAACAACUAUAUAAGAUCAUAUUCUUUGGGAAAAAUCGGCCACUAUGAAUAAUAAGAAAGGUCUAGCCGAUUUUAGGAGUGUUCAAGUUUCUCUCAAGUUAUUCCAAGUGUAUUUGGUGUUGUGUGAACCAUUUGAGGUGUCACACUUGAGGCACUAGGCACUCAAGCUUCAUGAAGACAUUCUACAUCAAAGAGGUAUGUAUUAUAUCUUGUUAUAUUCAUUAUUUUGUAUGCCAGAUUAGGAUAAUACCUUGGAUGUUCAUAAUUGCAUGUAUAAUAGAGAAAACAUAGAUCCAAGGUAUUUAGGGUUGCAUGUACACUUAGGAGUGUUAGAAUGCUCAAAGCCCAACAGUUGAUUG
RNAcentral lists this long non-coding RNA (7291 nucleotides) under Lactuca sativa (garden lettuce). RNAcentral describes it as "long non-coding RNA (LSAT_LNC005476)". The record is from RNAcentral. Lineage: Eukaryota; Viridiplantae; Streptophyta; Magnoliopsida; Asterales; Asteraceae.